RNAcentral lists this transfer RNA (74 nucleotides) under Verrucomicrobiota bacterium. Its description in RNAcentral is "Verrucomicrobia bacterium (rhizosphere metagenome) tRNA-Arg". It matches the Rfam family "tRNA". From Rfam's summary of the family: Transfer RNA (tRNA) molecules are approximately 80 nucleotides in length. Lineage: Bacteria; Pseudomonadati; Verrucomicrobiota. The record is from RNAcentral. RNAcentral also lists the same sequence under 2 other names.
GCACCCGUAGCUCAAUUGGAUAGAGUAUGUGACUUCGGAUCACAGGGUUGCAGGUUCGAGCCCUGCCGGGUGCA